CCCGUCACAUCACGAAAGUGGAUUGUACUAGAAGUCUGCAGGCUAACCCGCAAGGGAGGCAGCGGCCCAAGGUAUGAUUCAUGAUUGGGGUGAAGUCGUAACAAGGUACCC
RNAcentral lists this ribosomal RNA (111 nucleotides) under uncultured bacterium. RNAcentral's name for it is "partial 16S ribosomal RNA". It matches the Rfam family "Bacterial small subunit ribosomal RNA", at positions 1393 to 1501 of the family's 1533-position model. The record is from RNAcentral.